This 344-nucleotide long non-coding RNA is filed under the name Lathyrus oleraceus (garden pea). RNAcentral describes it as "Pisum sativum (pea) long non-coding RNA (PSAT_LNC011524)". Lineage: Eukaryota; Viridiplantae; Streptophyta; Magnoliopsida; Fabales; Fabaceae. The record is from RNAcentral.
AUAGUCUUGAGUGGAGUGGGUUCAAUACUCAUGUAUAGCAUUUUUUUGGCAUUUUAUUUCUUUUAGCUAUUUUAUUUUCUUUUAGCAUUUUCAUUUCUUUUUAUGUUUAUGCCUUUAUUAUACUCAUAGUUUCAUUUGUUAAUAAUGCAAAUUUGUUUUCUCUUAAUUUCACCAUUCAUUCAAAACCAUUUUUAAACUUAUAAAAAUCAUAUUUUUCUCGAUUUAAUAUCGAGCCCAUUUUCACACCCUUGUAAGUCGAUUGCUUUUUAAGCAUCGCCAUCAACCUCACAUAGCUUACUCUUGGGCUUUCUUACAAUGAGCCGGUUCCUUUGCACUUACACUCA